This 395-nucleotide unclassified non-coding RNA is filed under the name soil metagenome. RNAcentral's name for it is "partial contains 5.8S ribosomal RNA, internal transcribed spacer 2, and large subunit ribosomal RNA". The stretch from base 1 to 122 matches the Rfam family "5.8S ribosomal RNA", at positions 35 to 154 of the family's 154-position model. The record is from RNAcentral.
GAUGAAGAACGCAGCGAAAUGCGAUACUUGGUGUGAAUUGCAGAAUCUCGUGAACCAUCGAGUCUUUGAACGCAAGUUGCGCCCGAAGCCAUCAGGUUGAGGGCACGUCUGCCUGGGCGUCACAUAUCGUUGCCCAAUGCCUAUUGCAGUGCAAUAGGAAUUUCUAGGGCGAAUGAUGGCUUCCCGUGAGCGUUGUUGCCUCGCGGUUGGUUGAAAAUCGAGUCCUUGGUAGGGUGUGCCAUGGUAGAUGGUGGUCGAGUUAGAACGAUACCGAUCAUGUGCAUGCUCCCCAAAAUAUGGCCUCUAUGACCCACACGCGUCUUUUGACGCUCAUGACGAGACCUCAGGUCAGGCGGGGCUACCCGCUGAAUUUAAGCAUAUCAAUAAGCGGAGGA